This 344-nucleotide unclassified non-coding RNA is filed under the name soil metagenome. Its description in RNAcentral is "partial contains 5.8S ribosomal RNA, internal transcribed spacer 2, and large subunit ribosomal RNA". The stretch from base 6 to 121 matches the Rfam family "5.8S ribosomal RNA", at positions 39 to 154 of the family's 154-position model. The record is from RNAcentral.
GAUGAAAGAACGUAGCGAAACGCGAUAAGUAAUGUGAAUUGCAGAAUCCAGUGAAUCAUCGAAUCUUUGAACGCACAUUGCGCCCGCCAGCAUUCUGGCGGGCAUGCCUGUUCGAGCGUCAUUUCAACCCUCGACCUCCCCUUGGGGAGGUCGGCGUUGGGGACCGGCAGCACACCGCCGGCCCUGAAAUGGAGUGGCGGCCCGUCCGCGGCGACCUCUGCGCAGUAAUACAGCUCGCACCGGGACCCCGACGCGGCCACGCCGUAAAACACCCAACUUCUGAACGUUGACCUCGAAUCAGGUAGGACUACCCGCUGAACUUAAGCAUAUCAAUAAGCGGAGGA